GAUGAACGCUAGCGGCAGGCUUAAUACAUGCAAGUCGAGGGGCAGCACGGGUAGCAAUACCUGGUGGCGACCGGCAAACGGGUGCGGAACACGUACAGAACCUUCCUUUAAGCGGGGGAUAGCCCAUAGAAAUGUGGAUUAAUACCCCAUAGUAAUAUUGUCUGGCAUCAGAUGGUAUUUAAAGAUUUAUCACUUAAAGAUGGCUGUGCGGCUGAUUAGGUAGUUGGGUGGGUAACGGCCACCAAGCCAGCGAUCAGUAACUGGUGUGAGAGCACGACCAGUCACACGGGCACUGAGACACGGGCCCGACUCCUACGGGAGGCAGCAGUAAGGAAUAUUGGUCAAUGGACGCAAGU
This 356-nucleotide ribosomal RNA is filed under the name uncultured bacterium. RNAcentral's name for it is "bacterial SSU rRNA". It matches the Rfam family "Bacterial small subunit ribosomal RNA", at positions 28 to 382 of the family's 1533-position model. The record is from RNAcentral.